GGUUUUAGAGUCAUUAUACAUUGGAAUGGCGUGUCCCAUUUUUCCUCGUGAAAUCAAAUAAGAGAUGCCAAAAUCGUUGAUUUUGCUGACAGAGUUAGCAUCAAGGAGGACUUUUGAUGGUUUCAAAUUUCCAUGUAUGAUACAAGGCUUGUUGGAAUGAAGGAAGAUAAGAGCAGAGCAUAUCUCAGUAGCUAUGCAUAUCCGAGUUUGCC
RNAcentral lists this unclassified non-coding RNA (212 nucleotides) under Hevea brasiliensis (rubber tree). The record is from RNAcentral. Lineage: Eukaryota; Viridiplantae; Streptophyta; Magnoliopsida; Malpighiales; Euphorbiaceae.